AUGGGCAUCACGGUGACGGUGAGGCGGGCGACCAUGGUGAGGCCAGCCAAGGAGUUGCCGCGGUCUCGGCUAUGGAACUCCCACCUCGACCUGCUGGUGCCGCGCUUCCACACGCCAAGCGUCUACUUCUACCGCUGCCCUGAGGAGGGGCCGCCGGAGGGGUUUUUCGACGCCGAGCGGAUGCGGCGAGCGCUAGCUGACGCGCUCGUCACCUUCUACCCGAUGGCCGGCCGCCUCGCCCGGGACAAGGACGGGAGGAUUGAGAUCGACUGCAACGGGGAGGGAGUGCUCUUUGUCGAGGCCGACGCGCCCGAAGCCACCGUCGCCAACUACGGUGACUUUGCGCCCACCAUGGAGCUCAAGCGACUCAUCCCGGCUGUCGAUUACACGGACCAAAUAUCAUUCCCACUCGUCCUGCUCCAGGUGACCUAUUUCAAGUGUGGGGGUGUCUCCCUCGGUGUUGCCACACAACACCAUGUCGCUGAUGGCAUGUCCGGCUUGCAUUUUAUUAACUCAUGGUCCAACCUCUGCCGUGGAGCUAAAAUUGCAGUCAUGCCCUUCAUCGACCGCACCCUCAUCCGCGCUCGAGACCCUCCGACUCCAUGUUACCCACAUGUUGAGUACCAUCCAUCCCCAGCCAUGUUGUCAUCCAAGCCCCAGGAUGUCUCUUCUCCUGACACUGCUGUUGACAUCUUCAAGCUCACCAGCUCAGACAUUGGCCGCUUGCGCUCGCAGCUUCCCACCGGCGACGACAUGCCACGGUUGAGCACGUACACAUUGCUGUCUGCGCAUGUGUGGCGUUGUGUCUCUCUUUCACGUGGCUUGCCAUCUGAUCAGCCCACCAAGUUGUAUUGUGCCAUUGAUGGGAGGAAACGGCUGAAGCCGCCGCUACCGGAUGGUUUCUUAGGCAACGUUUUGUUCACCGCCACACCGAUCGUCGAGGCAGGCAAGGUGACCAGAGGGCUGGCGGAUGCAGCAAAGAUAAUCCAAAUGGAGCUAGAUAGGAUGAACGAUGACUACUGCCGCUCAGCAUUGGACUACCUUGAGCUGCAACCUGAUUUAUCGGCCUUGGUCCGAGGAGCACAAACCUACCGUUGCCCUAACCUCGGAAUCACCAGCUGGGUGAACCUGCCCGUCCACAAUGCAGAUUUCGGAUGGGGACGGCCGGUGUUCAUGGGUCCUGGCGGCGUCGCAUUUGAGGGGCUCGCCUACGUCCUCCCAAGCGCACACAAUGACGGGAGCUUGUCCAUCGCCAUCUCUUUACAGGCCGACCACAUGAACAAGUUCCGACAGUUGAUCUUGGCACUGUAA
Molecule: ribosomal RNA, 1311 nt
Filed under: Triticum aestivum (bread wheat)
Lineage: Eukaryota; Viridiplantae; Streptophyta; Magnoliopsida; Poales; Poaceae
Description: partial small subunit ribosomal RNA
Source: RNAcentral